Mustela erminea (ermine) is the source of this 140-nucleotide long non-coding RNA. RefSeq lists it as uncharacterized. Lineage: Eukaryota; Metazoa; Chordata; Mammalia; Carnivora; Mustelidae. The transcript is spliced from 3 exons. The record is from RefSeq and is a predicted model, not a curated record.
AAAUUACUCUUUAUUGGGGUGCCUGAGUGGCUCAGUUGGUUUAGUGUCCGACUCUUGAUCUCAGGUAAGGUCUUGAUCGCAGGGUCGUGAAUUCAAGUCGGACAUUGAGCUCCACACUGGGCAUGAAGCCUACUGAAAAA